This 253-nucleotide ribosomal RNA is filed under the name uncultured bacterium. Its description in RNAcentral is "partial 16S ribosomal RNA". It matches the Rfam family "Bacterial small subunit ribosomal RNA", at positions 524 to 776 of the family's 1533-position model. The record is from RNAcentral.
UACGAAGGGGGCGAGCGUUGUUCGGAGUUACUGGGCGUAAAGGGCGCGUAGGCGGCGCUCCAAGUUAGGCGUGAAAGCCCCGGGCUCAACCUGGGAAUUGCGCUUAAGACUGGAGUGCUCGAGUGCGGAAGAGGCGAGUGGAAUUCCCAGUGUAGAGGUGAAAUUCGUAGAUAUUGGGAAGAACACCAGUGGCGAAGGCGGCUCACUGGUCCGCAACUGACGCUGAGGCGCGAAAGCGUGGGGAGCAAACAGG